This 442-nucleotide ribosomal RNA is filed under the name uncultured Thauera sp. Its description in RNAcentral is "bacterial SSU rRNA". It matches the Rfam family "Bacterial small subunit ribosomal RNA", at positions 936 to 1382 of the family's 1533-position model. The record is from RNAcentral. Lineage: Bacteria; Pseudomonadati; Pseudomonadota; Betaproteobacteria; Rhodocyclales; Zoogloeaceae.
AUGAUGUGGAUUAAUUCGAUGCAACGCGAAAACCUUACCUACCCUUGACAUGUCUGGAACCUUGCUGAGAGGCGAGGGUGCCUUCGGGAGCCAGAACACAGGUGCUGCAUGGCUGUCGUCAGCUCGUGUCGUGAGAUGUUGGGUUAAGUCCCGCAACGAGCGCAACCCUUGUCAUUAGUUGCCAUCAUUUAGUUGGGCACUCUAAUGAGACUGCCGGUGACAAACCGGAGGAAGUGGGAUGACGUCAAAUCAUCAUGCCCCUUAUGACCUGGGCUACACACGUGCUACAAUGGUUGGUACAGACGGAGGCGAAGCCGCGAGGCGGAGCAAAUCCGAAAAAGCCGGUCUCAGUUCGGAUUGCAGGCUGCAAUUCGCCUGCAUGAAGUCGGAAUCGCUAGUAAUCGCAGGUCAGCAUACUGCGGUGAAUACGUUCCCGGGCCUU